Brassica napus (rape) is the source of this 932-nucleotide long non-coding RNA. RefSeq lists it as uncharacterized. The transcript is spliced from 4 exons. Lineage: Eukaryota; Viridiplantae; Streptophyta; Magnoliopsida; Brassicales; Brassicaceae. The record is from RefSeq and is a predicted model, not a curated record.
CACAAACGUAAGUGACUCCACCAGUGGUACCGAAUACGGUGGAGUCCAGAAGCUGGAGGCAGUUUCAUUAGCGGAGUUGAACGCCUACGUUCUAACCUCACUCCACAAGACAAUGUCUCCUCCUGCACAUGCACUAUAUGUUUUAACGCAAGUGCUGUUGGAGUUGUGAGAUAACGUGUUGAGAUGAUGGUGGCAAAUGGAGAAGAAUCGCUGUCUUUGUUGCCUUCGACACAGCUAUCACUAAGCUCACCUAUGCCAGGGCCACAGAGGUUUCCAACCCUAUUGGUUAUGGUGAGCAAGACCCAGCAGAAUAUAACCUCCCUUACUUCCUCCAAGACAUUGUUCUGAAGAGCUACAUUUCAUCUCAAGCUUACAGAGUUAAUUUUUCUUUCCUCCAUGAGUUAUUUACUGUCGCACGAAUCUUUGACCCCAAUCAGAGAAACCCAGGGCCCUCCUUUGCACUGCAUGUAACUCAUAUAAAAUUCUCGCCACUUGGGUCUCAUUAAACAGCAAACUACUUACAAAUUUAACUGUUUGUCUAAAGGGUGAGGGCAACAAUCGUGGUGACAAUAUCUCUGGAGAAAAUUGUGCUUUUUGCAAGUACCCUGUCGGUGACUCCUUCUCAAAGGACACUCAUCUUCCUGAAGCUAAUGACCAGACCAUUGGACCUGCAAGUGUUGUGCAAGAAGCGUCAAACACCUACCAGGUGGAGUCCAAUAGUGAGAAUGUUGAUGAUCCACAGGACCACCACAAAGAAGGCCCGCAAAGCUUAGUUUUCACCAUGGAGCGGAAUAGAGGAACAAAUGUUUCUCCCAUGCAUAUCGUCAAGGCACUCACAUUAUGUUUUCCAAAUAAUAGUUAUGACACUAAGUCUACCAUGAAGUUAAACAUUUUGCGUUUAUGAUAUAGAACAUAUUUCAAAUUUUCAGUAA